UCCCUGGUGGCUCAGACGGUAAAGCGUCUGCCUACAAUGCAGGAGACCCAGGUUUGAUCCCGGGGUGGGGAA
Molecule: transfer RNA, 72 nt
Filed under: Ovis aries (sheep)
Lineage: Eukaryota; Metazoa; Chordata; Mammalia; Artiodactyla; Bovidae
Rfam family: tRNA
About the family: Transfer RNA (tRNA) molecules are approximately 80 nucleotides in length. Their secondary structure includes four short double-helical elements and three loops (D, anti-codon, and T loops). Further hydrogen bonds mediate the characteristic L-shaped molecular structure. tRNAs have two regions of fundamental functional importance: the anti-codon, which is responsible for specific mRNA codon recognition, and the 3' end, to which the tRNAs corresponding amino acid is attached (by aminoacyl-tRNA synthetases). tRNAs cope with the degeneracy of the genetic code in two manners: having more than one tRNA (with a specific anti-codon) for a particular amino acid; and 'wobble' base-pairing, i.e. permitting non-standard base-pairing at the 3rd anti-codon position.
Source: Rfam by way of RNAcentral